This 253-nucleotide ribosomal RNA is filed under the name uncultured bacterium. RNAcentral's name for it is "partial 16S ribosomal RNA". It matches the Rfam family "Bacterial small subunit ribosomal RNA", at positions 524 to 776 of the family's 1533-position model. The record is from RNAcentral.
UACGUAGGGUGCAAGCGUUGUCCGGAAUUAUUGGGCGUAAAGAGCUCGUAGGCGGUCUGUCGCGUCUGCUGUGAAAACUCAGGGCUUAACCCUGAGCUUGCAGUGGGUACGGGCAGACUAGAGUGCGGUAGGGGAGACUGGAAUUCCUGGUGUAGCGGUGAAAUGCGCAGAUAUCGGGAAGAACACCCGUGGCUAAGGUGGCUCUCUAGUACGGUACUGACGCUGAGACGCGAAAGCGUGGGGAGCGAACAGG